GACGAACGCUGGCGGCGUGCUUAACACAUGCAAGUCGAACGGAAAGGCCCUGCUUUUGUGGGGUGCUCGAGUGGCGAACGGGUGAGUAACACGUGAGUAACCUGCCCUUGACUUUGGGAUAACUUCAGGAAACUGGGGCUAAUACCGGAUAGGAGCUCCUGCUGCAUGGUGGGGGUUGGAAAGUUUCGGCGGUUGGGGAUGGACUCGCGGCUUAUCAGCUUGUUGGUGGGGUAGUGGCUUACCAAGGCUUUGACGGGUAGCCGGCCUGAGAGGGUGACCGGCCACAUUGGGACUGAGAUACGGCCCAGACUCCUACGGGAGGCAGCAGUGGGGAAUAUUGCACAAUGGGCGGAAGCCUGAUGCAGCAACGCCGCGUGCGGGAUGACGGCCUUCGGGUUGUAAACCGCUUUCGCCUGUGACGAAGCGUGAGUGACGGUAAUGGGUAAAGAAGCACCGGCUAACUACGUGCCAGCAGCCGCGGUGAUACGUAGGGUGCGAGCGUUGUCCGGAUUUAUUGGGCGUAAAGGGCUCGUAGGUGGUUGAUCGCGUCGGAAGUGUAAUCUUGGGGCUUAACCCUGAGCGUGCUUUCGAUACGGGUUGACUUGAGGAAGGUAGGGGAGAAUGGAAUUCCUGGUGGAGCGGUGGAAUGCGCAGAUAUCAGGAGGAACACCAGUGGCGAAGGCGGUUCUCUGGGCCUUUCCUGACGCUGAGGAGCGAAAGCGUGGGGAGCGAACAGGCUUAGAUACCCUGGUAGUCCACGCUGUAAACGGUGGGUACUAGGUGUGGGGUCCAUUCCACGGGUUCCGUGCCGUAGCUAACGCUUUAAGUACCCCGCCUGGGGAGUACGGCCGCAAGGCUAAAACUCAAAGGAAUUGACGGGGCCCCGCACAAGCGGCGGAGCAUGCGGAUUAAUUCGAUGCAACGCGUAGAACCUUACCUGGGUUUGACAUGGAUCGGGAGUGCUCAGAGAUGGGUGUGCCUCUUUUGGGGUCGGUUCACAGGUGGUGCAUGGCUGUCGUCAGCUCAUGUCGUGAGAUGUUGGGUUAAGUCCCGCAACGAGCGCAACCCUUGUUCACUGUUGCCAGCACGUUAUGGUGGGGACUCAGUGGAGACCGCCGGGGUCAACUCGGAGGAAGGUGGGGAUGACGUCAAGUCAUCAUGCCCCUUAUGUCCAGGGCCUCACGCAUGCUACAAUGGCUGGUACAGAGAGUGGCGAGCCUGUGAGGGUGAGCGAAUCUCGGAAAGCCGGUCUCAGUUCGGAUUGGGGUCUGCAACUCGACCUCAUGAAGUCGGAGUCGCUAGUAAUCGCAGAUCAGCAACGCUGCGGUGAAUACGUUCCCGGG
RNAcentral lists this ribosomal RNA (1343 nucleotides) under uncultured bacterium. Its description in RNAcentral is "16S ribosomal RNA". It matches the Rfam family "Bacterial small subunit ribosomal RNA", at positions 28 to 1378 of the family's 1533-position model. The record is from RNAcentral.